Molecule: long non-coding RNA, 398 nt
Organism: Elaeis guineensis (African oil palm)
Lineage: Eukaryota; Viridiplantae; Streptophyta; Magnoliopsida; Arecales; Arecaceae
Source: RefSeq, a predicted model, not a curated record
AGCAAUUGCCUGGGCAAGAUGGUGUUGAGUAGAACAUGUUGCCCCUAAGUUCAUAGAUUGAGAAGUGGGUCAGUGUUUACUAUAUUUGAGCCUGUCAUUAAUGGAGGUCUCUGAUAUUUAGUGGAAUCUCAGCCCAUCACAUUCCACCACAUUCCCCAAGUUAGCAAAAUCAUAUAAGGUCACAGAAGUGAUAAUGCAAUGCAUGCAAAAGUUUUGGCUCUAACCUCUGCAGGUUCAAGUGAAGCUUCUUUAAAUUUUGAAGCAUCUAGACCCUGAAGUCUGGUCCAAAGGAUGGAAAGGCAAGGUUGAAAUAAUAAGAGAAACCAAUAACUUAGAAAUUUUGAAGAGAUGGAAGAGAUACCAAUGCAACACUAAUUGAGGAUCAGUGGAUGUGCAAG